CUUAUUCAUGUGUUACAACACAGAAAGAUCCCAAAAAGAGAAUAGACUUUAAAAAAUACUGACACUAGUUUCUGAUCCCAGGUCCAGACUGCUCAGAUCUCUGAUGUUCUGAUCAUCCCAGGUUGGAUCUCCUGAGCCUGGAAUCCUCCACCUUCAACACCACCAGUCAGGUGGAGGAAGAUAAGAGAACCCAGUUGGUCAAAAAAAUUGACCAACAAUUAAAGCAGAAGACCUGCUCCACCUGCUGUUCUACUGGUUGGAAGAGAUUGUGGAAAAGGUGAGGACAUGAUGAUGACUUGAUCAGAAAGUCUCCUUCAGUCAUCUGUUAUUUAGACUGAAUGUGUGUCUGAUUAUGUGUUGAUUCUCCAGCAUCAGCGAGACAAGACAAGACUGGACCAAUGAGGAGAGAGAAGACACAGAGGACUGAGGAGACGCAGAAAUCCUGCUGGAAAUCCAGAGAAGAUGUUUCCUGAUGCAUCAGGGGGACAGCUGAGGACGGGACACAGCAUAAAGAGACAGAGAUCAUGUGAAGUAGGUUGGAUCUCCUGAGCCUGGAAUCCUCCACCUUCAACACCACCAGUCAGGUGGAGGAAGAUAAGAGAACCCAGUUGGUCAAAAAAAUUGACCAACAAUUAAAGCAGAAGACCUGCUCCACCUGCUGUUCUACUGGUUGGAAGAGAUUGUGGAAAAGCAUCAGCGAGACAAGACAAGACUGGACCAAUGAGGAGAGAGAAGACACAGAGGACUGAGGAGACGCUGGAAAUCCUGCUGGAAAUCCAGAGAAGAUGUUUCCUGAUGCAUCAGGGGGACAACUGAGGACGGGACACAGCAUAAAGAGACAGAGAUCAUGUGAAGUAGGUUGGAUCUCCUGAGCCUGGAAUCCUCCACCUUCAACACCACCAGUCAGGUGGAGGAAGAUAAGAGAACCCAGUUGGUCAAAAAAAUUGACCAACAAUUAAAGCAGAAGACCUGCUCCACCUGCUG
Long non-coding RNA from Xiphophorus couchianus (Monterrey platyfish), 984 nucleotides. RefSeq lists it as uncharacterized. NCBI's taxonomy places the organism in Eukaryota, Metazoa, Chordata, Actinopteri, Cyprinodontiformes, Poeciliidae. The record is from RefSeq and is a predicted model, not a curated record. The transcript has 7 exons.